This 468-nucleotide ribosomal RNA is filed under the name uncultured bacterium. Its description in RNAcentral is "partial 16S ribosomal RNA". It matches the Rfam family "Bacterial small subunit ribosomal RNA", at positions 28 to 507 of the family's 1533-position model. The record is from RNAcentral.
GACGAACGCUGGCGGCGUGCUUAACACAUGCAAGUCGAACGGAAAGGCCCUGCUUUUGUGGGGUGCUCGAGUGGCGAACGGGUGAGUAACACGUGAGUAACCUGCUCUUGACUUUGGGAUAACUUCAGGAAACUGGGGCUACUAUCGGAUAGGAGCUCCUGCUGCAUUGUGGGGGUUGGAAAGUUUCGGCGGUUGGGGAUGGACUCGCGGCUUAUGAGCUUGUUGGUGGGGUAGUGGCUUACCAAGGCUUUGACGGGUAGCCGGCAUGAGAGGGUGAACGGCGACAUGAGGACUGAGAUACGGACCAGACUCCUACGGGAGGCAACAGUGGGGAAUAUUGCACAAUGGGAGGAAGUCUGAUGCAGCAACGCCGCGGGCGGGAUGACGGCCUUCGGGUUGUAAACAGCUUUAGCCUGUGACGAAGCGUGAGUGACGGUAAUGGGUAAAGAAGCACCGGCUAACUACGUG